UGGGGAAUCUUGCGCAAUGGGAGAAAUCCUGACGCAGCAACGCCGCGUGGGUGAUGAAGGUCUUCGGAUCGUAAAGCCCUGUCGGAGGGGAAGAUGCUUGGUAUGGCUAACAUCCAUAUCAGGUGACGGUACCCUCAAAGGAAGCACCGGCUAACUCUGUGCCAGCAGCCGCGGUAAUACAGAGGGUGCAAGCGUUGUUCGGAAUUAUUGGGCGUAAAGGGAGUGUAGGCGGCUUGUUAAGUCUUCUGUGAAAGCUACGGGCUCAGCCUGUAAAGUGCAGAGGAAACUGGCGAGCUUGAGUGUCGGAGAGGAUAGCGGAAUACCCGGUGUAGAGGUGAAAUUCGUAGAGAUCGGGAGGAACACCAGUGGCGAAGGCGCCUACCUGGCUGACAACUGACGCUGAGACUCGAAAGCAUGGGGAGCAAACAGGAUUAGAUACCCCCGUAGUCC
Molecule: ribosomal RNA, 450 nt
Filed under: uncultured bacterium
Lineage: Bacteria
Description: bacterial SSU rRNA
Rfam family: Bacterial small subunit ribosomal RNA
Source: RNAcentral